UAGCCUCGAGGCUCAUGCCCCACCAGUAGUAGUCCCCCAGAAACAGAUUGUCGCUAUUGAUGCCUAACACAGCGUCGGAAUAUCAUAGCCGGAAAUUAAAUUGUCCGUAAUAUUUGCACAUGCAACCGGACAAUGCGUACGCGCAAGAAACUUCACAAAGAAUAUGAUUCUACGUAGUUGCAGAACAAAGACAUCUGAGAGAUUUGCUUGCUAAUUAAUAAUAUUUAUCUAGAAUCCGAGGAAAGCUACCCGAAUAGUACUGGUGGACUAAUACACAGAGUUGUUCGCUGGAACAAAAUCGUAUCUGCCAUACUUCAGUAAACACCUCGUUUAUCAAAUGAUCUAGCGGAGUGAAAUCAAGCUGGUUAUCACUGAAGAAGCUAUUUAUCAUCUUCACGAACAGCCAACAUUGAUACCGUAAUAUACACUGAAUUUGGUAGUCGAUGAUCAAACGAGUACUACAGAGCCUCGACCUUAAUCGAUCGCAUCGUUAACGGAUCGCGUCAGAGUUUCUUCACAUUCCUUCAGUUUGCAUCGACCGACUGAGCUAGACGUUUUGGUCGUACAGUAUUAUAUACAAACAUUUCCUUUGUUAUUAGCGUACAUGCUGCGAUAAAAAAAAACUGAAAACUCUGUGUACCUGCGUUGUCCACAGAAAGAUUGGAAUGGAUAAUGAAAUUAGUGUAAUAAAUAUGGUAAUAAUCUUAAUACUAAUAGCAAUGAAAGUAGAGAAUGCAGGCUCACAUCAACCUAUCCAUGAUCAGUUGGUGAAUUAGGUAGGACACGCGUAAACAUACUGAUAAUUAGUGUUGAUCCGCCCAGAUGAUGUAACGAUAUUUUCCGAAAAAACUCAUACUAAUGAAAUCGCAGCAUAUGCAGCUGAUGACUGCGCUGUUAAACAGAAACGUAAUACAGAAAAGUUGGGCUAAUUUAGAGCCUUCCUUCCUUAAUAAAUAAUACUGUAAUAGUGGAAAAGUCAUCCAUCCAGAGAGUACUGCAGAAUAUCCAGACUAGUGUUGUUAUUGAUUUAGCGUUACGUGUAUUGAAUGUUAAUAUCUAAGCCUCUACCAAUUGAAGUAUUCUGCAAUUGAUCUAAGUAGGUGGAAUCGUCUCACUUUCUUAAUUACGGUAGUGCGAUUUUAAACUACUCGAAAGUUCAUGUUUAACGCUAGGCAUUUAUGUGCUAGAUCGUAACUAAAAUUCUCGAAUCGUUUUUAGCUCUUACAAAAAAGCAGCCGGUGUCUGCAUAUGAAAAUAUUCUACAUAAAUGGCUUAGGAAAUUCGUAAAUGGGCAAUAAAAAAAUCCGGAAGUUUGAAAAUGAUUAGACGGACAUUUGCGUUUAAAGUCGAAUUGUUCGAUACGAUGAGUAUACAUUUGUAGCGGGUUCGUGGACCGUAUUUCGCCUCAAUAUACGACACCUUCAGUUGUCUCGUUUAUAUACUUUAUUAUAUAAGUAUAUAAACGCACUAUUAUAUGUGCCAGUGAAGAAGCAGUUACUGUGUGAGCAACGUCGAUUAUGUGAUCGACAAGCUACUGUGGCUUGCGUCUAUUUUAUUCGUACCUUAGUGCAUAUUAGCUAUGGGCUGCUUAUCGACAUUGUUCUAAUGAGCUUUUCAGGAUGACUUUAGUGGAGGCGGAGUGAAAAAACGAUCAAUAAAUAUCAGGAAACUCAUUUGAAACGUUUUUCUAGAAAGAAAAAAAAAACACUUAUUUGUAAUAAUAGCAGUUACACUAAUUAAAAGCAGUACUUAGAGUAUGUGAAUAAAAAUGUUUUAGAACUACUGAAUGAGUCCACUCCGUAUAAUUUUGUCAUAAAACUUCAAUCAAAUUGAAAAAUAUUGACCCAAAACUGCUUCCUUGGCUGCAAAAUCACACCUCUUUGCGAUGUGUCUCUUAGCAUCUCUAGCUGAUACCUAACGUGUAUCCUCAUAGGUCUCAAACACGUUUACAAUAUAAUACCUACACGAUUGAUAGCCUACAGAUGUUAAAUUAUAAUUAUUGAUUCACAAUUCGUGUAUUGUUAACAAAAGGAACCUCUGUCGCUGCGAAAUGCAUAGUUUAUAUCAAAUGAUGUGAAAAAAUGUUUAACUAAUUUUGAAUUUAAUUUUCAGUUUGAUCGUACAGUAUAAGCGAGCGGGAUGUGCUUCUGGUGUUUGCGAGUAUUUUUUGGAGUCUGGUUUUCAUCCAGUUUCUAAUAAUAAGUACGAGAAGCAUUUCGAGAUUGCAUUCUUACGAACGUUGAUGAUCGUUGGUUUAUAGGUGUAUGUUAACACGUGAUCUGAAAACAGCAAUUUUAGAUUAAUCAAAAAUAUAUAUGCGCAAGCAGUAUUAUCGCUGCACAUGUUUUUUGUGCAGUCUUCGCAUAACCGGUUUCGGCCGAACUUAACAAGAUGGCGGGUCUAUUUGGCUUUUAUAAGAAGCGGAGCAUUUUCAUUGCUAUCAGGUGGAUGGCCCAGUUGCGCACAAUCAACGUCUGGUAUCCGAUUAUCCUGAUUAGAUAACUGCCGAUGAUAAGGGCACGUAAUAAGAUCUAGCAUGGGUGUGAGCGAAUCAUACGUACAUAUUUCAGUCACUUGUCUUUGGGGGAACGUGAAGGACAAUAAAUAUCGGUAUAGUUUUAAAACGUGAUAUUGUAUUUAUGAUUUUAACAUUUUAUUUUUACGAAAAAUUUUUAUAGAUUUUAGAAUAUUACGAGCUGCAUGGUGAAACCGCGUAUCACAGAACUAACCUUUGCUUUAUGUUUCGUCGUGCUCUUACAAUCAUGGUUUGUUUGAUGUUCAUAUCGAUUUAUGAAAAAAAAAAAAACUAA
This is a long non-coding RNA of Varroa destructor (honeybee mite), 2810 nucleotides long. The record is from RefSeq and is a predicted model, not a curated record. Lineage: Eukaryota; Metazoa; Arthropoda; Arachnida; Mesostigmata; Varroidae.